This 323-nucleotide ribosomal RNA is filed under the name Aeromonas salmonicida. RNAcentral's name for it is "bacterial SSU rRNA". It matches the Rfam family "Bacterial small subunit ribosomal RNA", at positions 1 to 318 of the family's 1533-position model. Lineage: Bacteria; Pseudomonadati; Pseudomonadota; Gammaproteobacteria; Aeromonadales; Aeromonadaceae. The record is from RNAcentral.
AAAUUGAAGAGUUUGAUCAUGGCUCAGAUUGAACGCUGGCGGCAGGCCUAACACAUGCAAGUCGAGCGGCAGCGGGAAAGUAGCUUGCUAYUUUUGCCGGCGAGCGGCGGACGGGUGAGUAAUGCCUGGGGAUCUGCCCAGUCGAGGGGGAUAACAGUUGGAAACGACUGCUAAUACCGCAUACGCCCUACGGGGGAAAGGAGGGGACCUUCGGGCCUUUCGCGAUUGGAUGAACCCAGGUGGGAUUAGCUAGUUGGUGGGGUAAUGGCUCACCAAGGCGACGAUCCCUAGCUGGUCUGAGAGGAUGAUCAGCCACACUGGAA